Molecule: ribosomal RNA, 253 nt
Filed under: uncultured bacterium
Lineage: Bacteria
Description: partial 16S ribosomal RNA
Rfam family: Bacterial small subunit ribosomal RNA
Source: RNAcentral
UACGUAGGCAGCGAGCGUUGUUCGGAAUUACUGGGCGUAAAGAGUGUGUAGGCGGUGCUCUAAGUUCGGUGUGAAAUCUCCUGGCUCAACUGGGAGGGUGCGCCGGAAACUGGAGUGCUUGAGCGUGGGAGAGGAAAGCGGAAUUCCUGGUGUAGCGGUGAAAUGCGUAGAUAUCAGGAGGAACACCGGUGGCGAAGGCGGCUCUCUGGACCACAACUGACGCUGAGGCGCGAAAGCUAGGGGAGCAAACAGG